RNAcentral lists this long non-coding RNA (1412 nucleotides) under Heterocephalus glaber (naked mole-rat). Its description in RNAcentral is "lncRNA (ENSHGLG00100044156.1)". Lineage: Eukaryota; Metazoa; Chordata; Mammalia; Rodentia; Bathyergidae. The record is from RNAcentral.
CAUUUCUCACAUCACCUGUUCACAAGGGAAGACUUUUAGAGCUUAUCUAUCAGCCUCAGGACUUGACGGAGACUGAAGACACAACCCUAUAAUUUCAUGGCAACCCUAAACCCCAGCAAUGACUGCUCAGACUCAGAGCAGUCCCAUUUGAAAAUGAAUUCGAUGGAGAGUCACGCAGGGAGUGAUCUCCCUGCUUCCCACACCUUCCACAAAGAGACCAAAGCCCCCUCCAAAGGUUGUAUCUGUUGCCGUGAGACGACAACCUUCUAUGACGGAUGUGUUGUAGGUUCUUCAGUCAACAACCUCCCUAUGAUUGAAGAACCAGAUGACACACAAACUCUAGGAAGAUACAUGGACAACAAAUACAGCAUUGAGGACAACCCAAACCAUGUGUGUACACCAAGCACUGAUGUGGAAGGGAAUGAGGACACAGACUCAGACAGUGAAGGCACAGGAGCUGAUCAGAUUGUCACUGCCAAUGACCUGCAGAUAAAUAUGAAUUCAACAUACAGAGGGCAACAGAUUGACCCCACGGAUGGUUGGCCAGAAAGUCAGCUUGUCAUUCUUGAACCCCCUGAGAAACGUAAAAAAGAUCGUAACAAUGAGGAGAACAAAGAAGAAAGUGAAUAUCAGGAAGCUAAUAAACAAGUUGAAAACUGUGAAAACCAAGCUGAGGGCAUGCUAAUGCAAUCAACUGAACAAGAAAAAAAGGACACCGAAAAACAGAACACCAAAGAAACCCAGAGUAAUGAAGAAGUAUAUGCAGAGCUUCAUGAACAAAUUCAGGUGUAUGAAAGACCUGAUAACACCAUGCUACCUGAUUCUCAUGAGGACGACAGAAAAGAGCAGAAUGAGAACCACAAGGAGAAGGAAGAAAUACAAAACAAUGAAGAAUAUCAGGAACCUGGUAAAUAAAAUCAGAACAAUAACAAAGCUGAUGACCUCCUGCUUCAGGGACUCCCUGAGAAAGAUUUCCACCUGGGCAGCAGUGCCCCUCCUCAUCCGGCUCAGGUCCCUUGUGAAGAACACCAUACACACGAGGACCUGCCUAACUGCAAACCACAGGAAAAUACAGAAGUCACCCAGGUCUCAGAGAUGCCAGUGACGGUCAAGGAAGAUGAACUUGCUGAGAAGCUGAAGACCAGCACCAAGGAGUCCUCCUGGGUCUCCUCGGGGCAGUCAGAGGAGGGCGCCACUCGGUCUGACACACAAACCACUGUAUGAACUUGAGGCAGGCCUUCCACUGGCUCCAGAAAAGAGUCCUCACUUGUUUGGGGAGGAGAGUGAGGGUCAGCAGCCCAUGAAAAACCCCAACCAAGAAAAAUCUUCAUACCUCUGAGUAUAUUCACCCCAAAGAAACCCCCACUGAUUAGCAUAAUCCCAAUCCCCAGAGUUUUAAGCAGUUUGAUGGC